RNAcentral lists this ribosomal RNA (479 nucleotides) under uncultured bacterium. Its description in RNAcentral is "SSU rRNA". It matches the Rfam family "Bacterial small subunit ribosomal RNA", at positions 26 to 521 of the family's 1533-position model. The record is from RNAcentral.
AGAUUGAACGCUGGCGGCAUGCUUUACACAUGCAAGUCGAGCGGCAGCGCGGGGGCAACCCUGGCGGCGAGCGGCGAACGGGUGAGUAACACAUCGGAACGUAUCCCGUAGAGGGGGAUAGCCCGGCGAAAGCCGGAUUAAUACCGCAUAUGCUCUACGGAGGAAAGUGGGGGACUCGCAAGGGCCUCACGCUAUGGGAGCGGCCGAUGGCCGAUUAGCUAGUUGGUGGGGUAAAGGCCUACCAAGGCGACGAUCGGUAGCUGGUCUGAGAGGAUGAUCAGCCACACUGGGACUGAGACACGGCCCAGACUCCUACGGGAGGCAGCAGUGGGGAAUUUUGGACAAUGGGGGCAACCCUGAUCCAGCCAUGCCGCGUGAGUGAAGAAGGCCUUGGGUUGUAACCGCUUUCACCAGGGACGAAGCGAGAGUGACGGUACUUGGGAAGAAGCGCCGGCUAACUACGUGCCAGCAGCCGCGGU